CUACGGGCCGCAGCAGUGAGGAAUAUUGCACAAUGGGGGGAACCCUGAUGCAGCAACGCCGCGUGGAGGAUGACGCAUUUCGGUGUGUAAACUCCUUUUAUAUGUCAAGAAAAUGACGGUAGCAUAUGAAUAAGCACCGGCUAACUCCGUGCCAGCAGCCGCGGUAAUACGGAGGGUGCAAGCGUUACUCGGAAUCACUGGGCGUAAGGACGCGUAGGCGGGUUGGAAAGUCAGGUGUGAAAUCCUACAGCUUAACUGUAGAACUGCACUUGAAACUUCUAAUCUAGAGUAUGGGAGGGGGAGAUGGAAUUAGUGGUGUAGGGGUAAAAUCCGUAGAUAUCACUAGGAAUACCUAAAGCGAAGGCGAUCUCCCGGAACAUUACUGACGCUAAGGCGUGAAAGCGUGGGGAGCAAACAGGAUUAGAUACCCCUGUAGUC
Molecule: ribosomal RNA, 438 nt
Filed under: uncultured bacterium
Lineage: Bacteria
Description: partial 16S ribosomal RNA
Rfam family: Bacterial small subunit ribosomal RNA
Source: RNAcentral